This 5563-nucleotide long non-coding RNA is filed under the name Homo sapiens (human). RNAcentral's name for it is "HSALNT0205059". Lineage: Eukaryota; Metazoa; Chordata; Mammalia; Primates; Hominidae. The record is from RNAcentral.
AAAAAGUCAAGUUAAUUGCAAGCAGAAGUUGAAAAUCAAGUUUAAAUUAAUCAAAAAUUUAAUUAAACUAAAUGAUCUUUGACUAGCAGCAGUUUUCUUGGCUGAGGGUUAAAAAAUAAAACCAUAAUAGAGAAUUUUUUUUUAAGAUGGAAUCUAGCUGUGUUGACCAGGCUGGAGUGCAGUGGUGUAAUUACAGCUCACUGCAGCCUCAACCUGCCAAAUUCAUGCCAUCCUCCCACCUCAGCUUCCUGUAUAGUUGGGACCACAGGUGCAUGUCACCAUGCCCAGCUAAUUUGUAUAGAAACUGAGUUUUGCCAUGUUGCCCAGACUGGUCUCAAACUCCUGGGCUCAAACAAUCCCGUCGCCUUGGCCUCCCAAAGUGCUGGGAUUACUGGUGUAGGCAAGGAUGCCUGGCCUAGUAGAGAACAUUUUUUUCUGUACUAUAUAGCUUUCAAUAUAGUGGGAGUAAUAGACAAGUAUAAAAUAAUCAAUUUGAUAUAGGGAAGAUUAGGUUACACAUGAGAAGAAUAUGUAAAUUAGACUGAAGGAAUAAGUAUAUUUUGUAUUAUGUUUAAAACUUUGUGUAAGGAGAUAUGAAUAGUUGAAUAAAUUACUUGUACAGGAAUUAAUAUCAUAUCCUGCAUAAUGAAUUCUCAACAGAUGGAGACGUAUUCCAAAGUGCCUCUGUCUUAAUCUUAAUAAUUAGUGGGAUUCUAGACUUCCACAGGUCAAUUCUACAACUAGCCCAUUAUUUCUGCGGUUUUAUAAUUUUUAAAUAUAAAUACGUAAGACUUUUCUUUGUUGUGUAGAUUAUGAAAGAAAACUUGAGAAAAUUAAUUCUUAAUACAAACAAAAACAACAAAAUGCAUUUCUGUAUUUAUAUUUAACAAUAGUCAUUUCAAAAAAUCUGUUAUGAUUUGUUUUAAAAAUAAAUUCAAUGCAUGAACUAAAAUAGUGCUUAUUAAUAUAGUAUUAAUAUCCAACAACACUGACAUAAAUAUAUUUUUCCUUAGGGAUUAUAUGUUAUUAUUCUGAGAUCUAAUUUCUAAUUUUUUUUAGUGCUUAAGUUUUGAAAUUGUGCUUGUGAUGCUUCUUGCUUUUCCUUGUUCAUUUUGUUUUAUUGAUAUUUGUUAAGAAGCAUAUUGGAUUGGCUACUUUAGCAUAAUUUUUCUUCUUCUUACCUAGAAAACAUCUUAAAAUAACUUAUAUCUCAUCACUCAAAUCAAUUUUAAAGUUAUUUUAUGAAAUUUACAUGCUACAGACCCUUUUUGACCCUGGUCCUACUCAUAUAACAUUUACAAGUCCUUUCUACAAAAAAAUUGCUAGGCCUUUACCCUGAAAAGAAAGUGAUAUUUUUAGCAGCUGAAAAUAACAGGCUUUGCCUUAUGAUUUGAUUUCAUCUUUUGUUUCUUAAAUAAAACUGUACUACCCUAUUUUCAUAAUGUUUUGAUCAACCUAUAUAGAACAAUGAGCACUAAUUGACUAAUCUCGUCUUCAGGACUUCUGUUAUUAUAUGCUCAACAGAGACUAUUUUAUAGAUAAUUUCAGCUCCAACAGUUUUUUUUUUUUUAAACCUCUGCUUUAUACCUCCUGUACCAGUAGAUCUCAGUCCUUCUGAAAUAAUGUCUCCUUGUAAUUAUAACAACUGUGUAGUUUUAUUUAGUGACAUGAAAUCCAUGUGUUCUAAUGAAGGGAUAAUGAAAAAAAGGGCCCUCAUUUAAUAAUACCACAAGGCUAGCACUCUUGCAAUAUUUGUUAUUAUAAUAUAUAUGGUAUUUUUUUUUACAAUAUAUUAAUGAUAUCAGCGUUUCAGGUAUCAGGUAUCUGCAUCUCCCACUGCAUUCUUUGAUCAUCUUGAAACAGAUACCUGUUAUGAAUAAAUUGACUUCAGUUCUCAGAACAUGACAGAUAACUUUGUUAUUACUCAUAGUUUCAGUGUUCCCUACCUACUUUUUUGUCUAGUGCAUAUCUACUCAUGCUUUAAUAUUAUGCUCAAGGGCAGCCCUCUUUAUAUUUUAUUUAAAUCCCAGAUAGAUUUUACUGCCACAUUAUUUUUUAUUUCUCCUGGAUUUUACACAGUGUGGUUCUGAAUGGCCAGUAACUAUUACCCUUUAAUUUCUUUCUGUCAUUCACAAAUAUCUGAGAACAAACACAUGAAAAAGAUACCGAAGAGAGAAGAUAAGUUUUAAUACUAAUUGAGCAGAUUAGAGUCAUAGCUUUGGAUACAGAGAUGGCUAAUAUUUCCAUCCCUUCUCUCAAAGGGUUGCUGACACAGCUGGACAUACACAGUGCCCUUGUGAGGGAGAGUCAGCAAGGUGAAAUUGACACAAAGGGUGAGCCAAUAUAUUCUAUGCCAAACACACACCUUUUUGUUUCCAAACUCAACAAUCAGGUAAGUCAAAAUGGAGAAAGAAAUGCUAAGUCAGAAAGACACCAGUGAAAAAUAAAAAAAGUGAGGAAUGAGGAAUAUAUGUUCACAGUAAAAUUUCAUGCCAUUGAUAAGGUGGAGAGAGAAUUUAGAUAAAGAGAGGGUUAUGAUCAACUUUCUCCAAGAUAUAUAGCUUAAAAAUGCAGCAGUCUUUCAGCCGGUAGAACAGAGUAGAGCUGACCUUGGCCAGCUGACCUGGGCAGAAUGAAGCAACUCCUGCCACAGAAUAGCAUUUCAUCCUUGCAUCCUGCACUGGGACCAUCAUGUGCUUUUGAUGAAAGUCAAGAAUAAACCCUAAUCUCAGCUCAUACAAGACAUUAGAAGUGCCUUUUUCUGCUAUUCCUACUCCCAUUUAAUUGUGUCUUUUGAUGUUUGGCUGGGAGCUUUGGCCUGGAUCCCUGUGGAAUUUGCCUGAUUCGUUCACUAUAUCAUCCAAAGCUGGACACACACACCACACACACAGAUACACAGACACACACAUGUACAUAGAGAGACACACAGAGAGAGAGACUCUAAGCACACACUCUGUUUAUUCCACAGGUCGUUGUGCCUGCCCUGCCUGGGUGUUUUUUCAAAAUCUUGUGGAUAUGAAACUAUAGACGGUGUUGUGACCUCUGCUGCAGUGGCUUGGAAAUUCACUGGCAGCGGGCACAGAAAAAGAUAUGAAUUAUGAGAGAGAUUUGAUGUGAGAUUCUCCACUGCUGGCUUUGAAAAUGGAAGAGGCCUCACAUGGCAAGGACCUGAAGUAGCCUCUGGGAGCUAAGAGUGAUUGACCAUUGUCCUGUGGCCUCAAGAAAAUCAGGAGUUCAGUCUGCAACUACAAGGAGCUGAACGCUGCCAACAACCUCAAUGACACUGGAAGAACACACUGAACUCCAGAGAACACAGCCCAGGCCAAUACAUUGAUUUUAGCCGUGUGAAACCUAUUGUAGAUAACUCAGUUGUGCUGUGCUUAGACUUUUUUUUUUUUUUUUUUUUUGAGACGAAGUAUUGCUCUGUCGCCCAGGCUGGAGUGCAGUGACACGAUCUUGGCUCACUGCAACCUCCGCCUCCCGGGUUCAAACGAUUAUCCUGCCUCAGCCCCCUGUGUAGCUGGGAUUACAGGCACCCGCCACCAUGCCCGGCUAAUUUUUGUAUUUUUAGUAGAGACAGGGUUUCACCAUGUUGGCCAGGCUGGUUUCGAACUCCUGACCUCAAGUGACUGCCCGCCUUGGCCUCCCAAAGUGCUGGGAUUACAGGCGUGAGCCACCGCGUUCUGCCACUGUGCUCAGACUUCUGACAUAGAGAACUGCGAACUAAUAAAUGGCUUUUACAGCACUAAUUUUUUGUUAGUUUAUUACACAGCAAUAUAGAAAACUAAUAAAUAUCAAGUGAAAAUGAAUUGUUUGCUUCUAAGCACUUGAUUUAGAUAAAUCCUACAGGUUUGUUCAUGUAAUUAAAAAUAUGUGUAAUUUCCAUUGUAAGUUCUUUAUUCUUUUUUAGUGAUUACUCGAGAUGAUAGUAUGCAUUUUUAAACUGAUAUUGAUAACAUUCUUUACUAUUUCCUUGAUAAUGCUAAGCUCUUAGCAACUGCAUUCCACAUCCUUUUGUCUGUAUGCCAUUGUUGACAUGCAUUUUAAUUCUGUAUAUAUUUUAAAUACAGUAGCUAUAAUUAUUAUUUUUAUUUCACCAAUUAGCAUACAUUUAGAUAUUUCCAAAUCUUUAAGCAUUAUGUUAGUCUUCAGUUAUUUCUGCCUAUUAUUUGUUCAGUAUCAGCUUUCUUAGGAUAGGUUCUUAUUUACUAGUACUUAUUAGUAUUUUUUUUUGUUAGCAUAUUCUAAUAUUGUUUGAAUGGAAUAAAUUUUUUUACCUUCACUUUGAAAAUAUAUUUAUUUUCUAUAUAAUGAAUUAUCAUUUGGUAUAUUCUCUGUCAAUACUUUUAAAAUGUUAUUCCACUCUUUAUUUUUUCCAACAUAUCUGUUGACAGCUCCCAGUCUUCCUGCUUCUCCUUUAAAGGCACCUAUGUGUUUUCUCUGGCUCGUUUUAAAAUCCUUCCCUCCCCUCUUUCUUGAAAUUAUUAGCUUUUUUUUUUUUUUUUUUUUUUUUUUUAGCAGUCUAUCCCUCCUUCUUGGAAUUAUUAGUUUUAAACUGUUCUUUAAUAACUCUAAUGAAUUUUGAAAAAUUCCUGCCCCAAAUCCCUCUCAAUAUUGCCUCUGCAUCAUUCUUCCUUUCUUUUCUUCUACUGCAAAAAUAAUUACACAAAUGCUAUUUUUUAAUUAUUUUUUUAUUUUUUUAUUUUUUAGACGGAGUCUUGCUCACUCUGUCGCCCAGGCUGGAGUACAGUGGCGCCAUCUUGGCUCACUGCAAGCUCUGCCUCCUGGGUUCACGCCAUUCUCCUGCCUCAACCUCCCUAGUAGCAGGGACUACAGGUGCCUGCCACCAUGCCUGGCUAGUUUUUUGUAUUUUUAGUAGAGACGGGGUUUCACCAUGUCAGCCAGGAAGGUCACGAUCUCCUGACCUAGUGAUCCACCCACCUCAGCCUCCCAAAGUCCUGGGAUUACAGGUGUGAGUCACUGCGCCCGGCCAACAAAUGCUAUUUUUGCUUUGACCCUUUUCCUACUUAUAUUCAUUUUUGCUUUUUACUUUCCACCUUUUGUUUUGAACUUAUCUCCAAAUUCACUCUCUUCUGCAUGCCUAGUCUACUGUUCAGCCUAUUUAUUUUUUUAUUUCACUCAUUUUACUUUUCAUUUAUUUAUGUUUUAAAAUAAAUGCAUAAUAAAUUUAUGUAUUAAAUAAAAAUUCUCUAUGAAAGUUUAUAUCCUAUAAUAUUUCUUUUUCUUUUAAUAGCUAAACUUUAUUUUGUAAAGAUACAACCCCUGUCCUUAUAGACAAAUACAACCUCCCCAACUAUCAACAUCCCAUACCACAGUGGUACACUUCUUACUAUUGAUGAGCCUACCUUGACACAUCAUUAUUACCCAAAGUCUGUAGUUCACAUUAGGACUCACUCUUGGAGAUGUACAUUCUGUGGGUCUUGACAAUGACAUAUAUCACCAUCACAGUAUCAUACAAAAUAGUUUUCUUGCUCUAAAAAUCCUCCAUGCUCUUCUUAUUCACCUUUUCCACCCUCUACAAGCACCUGCAACCCAACAUCUG